AUACUUACCUGGCAGGUAGAUACCAUGACCACAAAGGUGGUUUUCCCAGGGUGAGAGUUAACCAUUGCACUCUGGAUGUACUGAACCUUGACAUUCCCCAAAUGUGGGAAACUCGACUGCAUAAUUUGUGGUAAUGGGAGAAUGCAUUCAUGCUCUCCCCUG
Molecule: small nuclear RNA, 162 nt
Organism: Artibeus jamaicensis (Jamaican fruit-eating bat)
Lineage: Eukaryota; Metazoa; Chordata; Mammalia; Chiroptera; Phyllostomidae
Product: U1 spliceosomal RNA
Exons: 1
Source: RefSeq, a predicted model, not a curated record